CAGUCGAGGGGUAUAUUUCUUCGGAGAUAGAGACCGGCGCACGGGUGCGUAACGCGUAUGCAAUCUACCUUUCACAGAGGGAUAGCCCAGAGAAAUUUGGAUUAAUACCUCAUAGUAUUACGAAAUGGCAUCAUUUUGUAAUUAAAGUCACAACGGUGAAAGAUGAGCAUGCGUCCCAUUAGCUAGUUGGUAAGGUAACGGCUUACCAAGGCUACGAUGGGUAGGGGUCCUGAGAGGGAGAUCCCCCACACUGGUACUGAGACACGGACCAGACUCCUACGGGAGGCAGCAGUGAGGAAUAUUGGACAAUGGGCGCAAGCCUGAUCCAGCCAUGCCGCGUGCAGGAUGACGGUCCUAUGGAUUGUAAACUGCUUUUGCACAGGAAGAAACAACGCUACGUGUAGCGUCUUGACGGUACUGUGAGAAUAAGGAUCGGCUAACUCCGUGCCAGCAGCCGCGGUAAUACGGAGGAUCCAAGCGUUAUCCGGAAUCAUUGGGUUUAAAGGGUCCGUAGGCGGUUUAGUAAGUCAGUGGUGAAAGCCCAUCGCUCAACGGUGGAACGGCCAUUGAUACUGCUAGACUUGAAUUAUUAGGAAGUAACUAGAAUAUGUAGUGUAGCGGUGAAAUGCUUAGAGAUUACAUGGAAUACCAAUUGCGAAGGCAGGUUACUACUAAUGGAUUGACGCUGAUGGACGAAAGCGUGGGUAGCGAACAGGAUUAGAUACCCUGGUAGUCCACGCCGUANACGAUGGAUACUAGCUGUUGGGAGCAAUCUCAGUGGCUAAGCGAAAGUGAUAAGUAUCCCACCUGGGGAGUACGUUCGCAAGAAUGAAAC
Molecule: ribosomal RNA, 835 nt
Filed under: uncultured bacterium
Lineage: Bacteria
Description: bacterial SSU rRNA
Rfam family: Bacterial small subunit ribosomal RNA
Source: RNAcentral